AGCUUUGCGCAGUGGCAGUAUCGUAGCCAAUGAGGUUUAUCUGAGGCGCAAUUAUUGCUAAUUGAAAAAGA
RNAcentral lists this small nuclear RNA (71 nucleotides) under Mustela putorius furo (domestic ferret). Its description in RNAcentral is "U4 spliceosomal RNA". It matches the Rfam family "U4 spliceosomal RNA", at positions 1 to 71 of the family's 138-position model. Rfam says of the family: U4 small nuclear RNA (U4 snRNA) is a component of the major U2-dependent spliceosome. The structure of U4 snRNA from yeast and human has been reported. U4 snRNA presents a k-turn RNA motif in the 5p-SL related to recognition of Snu13 protein. Lineage: Eukaryota; Metazoa; Chordata; Mammalia; Carnivora; Mustelidae. The record is from Rfam by way of RNAcentral.